RNAcentral lists this ribosomal RNA (508 nucleotides) under uncultured bacterium. RNAcentral describes it as "partial 16S ribosomal RNA". It matches the Rfam family "Bacterial small subunit ribosomal RNA", at positions 28 to 507 of the family's 1533-position model. The record is from RNAcentral.
GACGAACGCUGGCGGCGUGCCUAAUACAUGCAAGUCGAACGCUUCUUUCCUCCCGAGUGCUUGCACUCAAUUGGAAAGAGGAGUGGCGGACGGGUGAGUAACACGUGGGUAACCUACCCAUCAGAGGGGGAUAACACUUGGAAACAGGUGCUAAUACCGCAUAACAGUUUAUGCCGCAUGGCAUAAGAGUGAAAGGCGCUUUCGGGUGUCGCUGACGGAUGGACCCGCGGUGCCUUAGCUAGUUGGUGAGGUAACGGCUCACCAAGGCCACGAUGCAUAGCCGACCUGAGAGGGUGAUCGGCCACACUGGGACUGAGACACGGCCCAGACUCCUACGGGAGGCAGCAGUAGGGAAUCUUCGGCAAUGGACGAAAGUCUGACCGAGCAACGCCGCGUGAGUGAAGAAGGUUUUCGGAUCGUAAAACUCUGUUGUUAGAGAAGAACAAGGACGUUAGUAACUGAACGUCCCCUGACGGUAUCUAAACAGAAAGCCACGGCUAACUACGUG